Molecule: unclassified non-coding RNA, 207 nt
Filed under: uncultured fungus
Lineage: Eukaryota; Fungi
Description: partial contains 5.8S ribosomal RNA, internal transcribed spacer 2, and large subunit ribosomal RNA
Source: RNAcentral
AACGCACAUUGCGCCUUCUGGUAUUCCGGGAGGCAUGCCCGAUUGAGUGUUAUUUCUAUCUAUUCCAAGAAAUUGUGAAUGAGUUGUUGGAUGUAUUGAUUAUUUCAUACUCUGACCAAGAAUAUAACGAGCGACGUCUAGAUUUAUCUUCGUCAAUCAAAACACAAUAAACAACCUCAGUCGGGUAGGACUACGCGCUGAACUUAA